UGGGGUGUAGCCAAGCGGUAAGGCAACGGAUUUUGGUUCCGUGAUCGCAGGUUCGAAUCCUGCCACCCCAGCCA
Molecule: transfer RNA, 74 nt
Filed under: Candidatus Saccharibacteria bacterium QS_5_54_17
Lineage: Bacteria; Candidatus Saccharimonadota
Also listed under: 1 other name
Description: tRNA-Gln
Rfam family: tRNA
About the family: Transfer RNA (tRNA) molecules are approximately 80 nucleotides in length.
Source: RNAcentral